Molecule: long non-coding RNA, 1756 nt
Filed under: Homo sapiens (human)
Lineage: Eukaryota; Metazoa; Chordata; Mammalia; Primates; Hominidae
Description: GBX2 and ASB18 antisense RNA 1 (GBX2-AS1)
Source: RNAcentral
GACUCACCGAGCGAAGCCUGCACCGUCUCGGCCGCGGAGAAGGCGAGCAGCGAGCCCUCUUUGGCCAGGAAGCCUUUGCCGUCCUCCGCGUCAGCCUGCAGCGCCUCCGCCUUGUCGAAGUUACCGCCGCCGGGCAGCGGCUGCGGCGCGAACUUGCGGGCCGCUGCCGCCUCCUGGUGCUGGGGCGACGCGGAGAAGCCGCCGGGGAGCGUGGCCAUGAGCGUAGAGCUGCUUAGAAAACGACUGUUCGUGUCAUAAAAGGAUCCUUGUGUUUCGGCGUGAUUAACAAGAUGCAUUCGGGGCACCUCAGCUACCUGCAAAGCGUUCAGAGCGUGGGGACUGCGGAUAAUAAAAGCCUUUAGAGUUUUUCCUCGGCUCCUCGGAUAGAUUUAUGGACAGGAGCGAUAGAUGCAUGGCUUAUCCAUCCUCCGGAUUCCUACCUGCUUAGCUCGUAACAGCCUCAAACUGCAGAGUCCUCCGUGACUCAGCUCGGCCCAGUCUACGCGGGAAAAUCACCGGGCACAGAUGUUUGCAACUUGGUCCCCUCCCCCCUCCAAUUAGGAAAAAUGAAGGGCGCACCCGAAGGGAGAGCUGGGUCCUCCAACUCCAGUUAACUUCGUGAACUUCCCUCCCCUCUUCCCCCCUAGAUGAAGAUAGCUCAGCCCCUGGGCACUUCACUCGACAGGUGCUAGGCUAGUGUCAGGUUCAGAUGAUGCCACUUAAAACCUCAGACAUUCCGAAAAAGUGAUGGUAAUUAAGUUGGCCCCUCGCUUCGGGGUUGUCCCAGGCUGCGCUUGCAUGCAGAUGUAUGAAGGUUGAGGGUGAAAUAGAAAACGCACAAGUAAAUGAAUAUUCAUGCAGCAAACUUGUGCUGGCCUGCCCAGCCCAGCCCAGCCCAAUCCGGAGGAGGAAGCACCGCGAAUGGCGCGCUUCGCUGCCGCCGCCAGAGUCGAGGUAACGGGUGGUCGUGGAGAGGGUACGGUGUGGCCACCCGUGGUCUCGGAGGACGCGGGGAAUCCUGCGGGCCUCGAGGGUCUGGCGCUCCCGCCAGUCGCCCAGUCCUAGGCGACAGGCUGGUUUCUCGGGCAACCGAGUUGUUUUUAUUUACAGGGAUUUUGAGAAGCCCGAUCGUUUGGUCAUUGCCGCAGCUCUUGCUCCUGGCAAUAGUUGGGAAAUAACUUGGGAUGGGUUUUAUUUAUGGAAGGGCAAUUGGGAUUCACACCCAGCUAACCCUGAACAGUCCCUCCCGAGCCCAGGACGCACUUACAAAGGGGCGCUUGUGUAAAAUUCCCCAUCAGACACACUAAUUUGCAAGUAGCAGAAAGCAUUGAAGCCUCAUCUUUUUAAACAUUUUAUUCAGCUUUUUUUUUUUUUUAAUCUGAAAGCCCAAAAUAGACUCCAUGUGGUUCUAAGUGAAGUCAGCCCUUGGCUGGCUUUGAAAUAGCUCCUGCAAUUAUGUAAAAGAGCCAUUCACCAACAGGACGGAAUUAAAAGGGAUCUCGCCCGCUUCCCUUUCAUUGCCAACCUCUCAUGUUUGGCUUUUCAAAGCACUUCCAACACGAUGUCUUUCUCCAGGACAAAAGGCAGAACAAAAAAAGUCCCCAAACUUGUAAAUUGAACGUCAAGGGAACUUUAAACAAUUUAAAGCCCAUAAAUAAUGAUAAAGGGGACUGGCAAAAAAGGCAAACCCAUUCAAUUAAUAGAGUUUCCCAAGCAAAGAUCAAGUGGUUUAUAAAAUAAAAGUCUUUGGUUUCAU